UCCAGCCUCUGGAUCAUACUUCUUAAAAUCAGAAUAAUUAUGAAUUCCAAAAACUAUUAGGCCUCAAGGAUUUCAGAUAAGAGGCAAACUGAUUUCAGAUAAGGACAGUACUGUCCUUAAAACAUGACAGCAAGAAUGAAUGCAAGAUUUCAGUUGUGAUCAUUGGACUAGCUCAAAAUAUCAUGAGGAAGGUACUUGGAUGUCAGUCAUCCCCCAAACUCACGUUUCACUAUUGUGGGUGAGAUGACAAAAUGUGGCUCAAAUAUAUCAUUAGGUGAAUUUGCAGGUGCUCCUCAGGGCAGUCCCACUGUGCUCUGGCUUUGGCCAAUCCAUAGCCAUUAGUUUCAGAGAUGAUUUCUCAUAAGUGGGGACCCUUGGGUACAAGAAACAGAAGUCUGCAUGAGCUAGCUCAAGCCAAAGGAGUCUCAAAGAACCCAAGAUCAAGAGGCAACUGGGCCUUAGGGAGGUUCUGGAACCAGAGAUAAGAGCACCACAGAAAUUUAAGAACUCCCUCCUUCUCUCUUCCCUACUGUAUGCAAAUCCAUUCCAUCCAUCCAUCUGGCUACAGAGUAGCUUUCUCUACUUUGUAAUUAACUUUUUAGAAAAUGACCACUGCCUGAACCCCCCGAGUCAUAUCAUCUUCAUUAUGAGCACAGUCCUACAGGGGUUGGACUUCUAAGUCCAAAUUCCAAACUUCUCAGGACGGGGGACAUUGGAAUAAGUCUUAUCAUUUCGAGAGAGGAGACACUUCAUGAAGGAAGUGGUCAGAUACUAUAGUUGGGCAAGAUUAUUUAAUUUUUCUGUGCCUAACUCAUCCAAGAGAACUCUCAGCAGUUUUUAACACUAUGCAAAAUAGUGUUAAAAAUUGUUCAUUGAAUUCAGCAGAAAGAUCAUUAAUGACCAUUUUGAGCAGGUAGAAGGAUAGCAGGGCUGAAGUUGUGGUACACUGAAUGUAAAGAACAGGAGACAGGAGGUACAGAUGACUCUCAUGAAUUUUUGAUUUAAGCCAAGCAGAUGAGUGAUAGAUGCAAUUAAUUAUUAUUGUUCAAUGUGGUUUAAGUGGCUAAGGGGUGGAGUGGUAUGU
This 1084-nucleotide long non-coding RNA is filed under the name Marmota monax (woodchuck). Lineage: Eukaryota; Metazoa; Chordata; Mammalia; Rodentia; Sciuridae. The record is from RNAcentral.